This 69-nucleotide transfer RNA is filed under the name Ascaphus truei (coastal tailed frog). RNAcentral describes it as "transfer RNA-Ser (ucn)". It matches the Rfam family "tRNA". Rfam says of the family: Transfer RNA (tRNA) molecules are approximately 80 nucleotides in length. The record is from RNAcentral. Lineage: Eukaryota; Metazoa; Chordata; Amphibia; Anura; Ascaphidae.
AAGAAAGUGGCAGAAGCUAUGUGGCUGAUUUGAAAUUAGCAGAUGGAGGUUCAAUUCCUUCCUUUCUCG